AUUGAACGCUGGCGGCAGGCCUAACACAUGCAAGUCGAGCGGAUGAAGGGAGCUUGCUCCUGGAUUCAGCGGCGGACGGGUGAGUAAUGCCUAGGAAUCUGCCUGGUAGUGGGGGAUAACGUCCGGAAACGGGCGCUAAUACCGCAUACGUCCUGAUGGAGAAAGUGGGGGAUCUUCGGACCUCACGCUAUCUGAUGAGCCUAGGUCGGAUUAGCUAGUUGGUGGGGUAAAGGCCUACCAAGGCGACGAUCCGUAACUGGUCUGAGAGGAUGAUCAGUCAAACGGGAACUGAGACACGGUCCAGAGUCCUACGGGAGGCAGCAGGGGGGAAUAUUGGACAAUGGGCGAAAGCAUGAUCCAGACAUGCCGCGUGUGUGAAGAAGGUCUUCGGAUUGUAAAGCACUUUAAGUUGGGAGGAAGGGCAGUAAGUUAAUACCUUGCUGUUUUGACGUUAACAACAGAAUAAGCACCGGCUAACUUCGUG
Molecule: ribosomal RNA, 484 nt
Filed under: uncultured bacterium
Lineage: Bacteria
Description: partial 16S ribosomal RNA
Rfam family: Bacterial small subunit ribosomal RNA
Source: RNAcentral